Molecule: long non-coding RNA, 645 nt
Organism: Bombus pascuorum
Lineage: Eukaryota; Metazoa; Arthropoda; Insecta; Hymenoptera; Apidae
Exons: 3
Source: RefSeq, a predicted model, not a curated record
ACGAACUCUCGAACCACCCUUUCCUUGCAUAUAUCACAGUGAAAGCGUAAAAUUUAGUAAAGGUAUAUGCUGACGUUUCAAUGUAUGCAUUUACGUGACAGUUUAGCGAAAGUGUCGAGAAGAAUAUAAGUGUCUACUAUUUUUAGUAAAUGUAUUCAUUUAGUAGACAAUGAAAUUGGUAUGUGCAUACAUUAACUAGUAAGUUUCUUGUCCCUGUUUCACGUGUUUACAUGAGAGUUUUCGAGAACCGUUUGCCCACACAGAGAAAAAUGUAUAAUUCAGCGGAGCGGAUAAACACGGUGUUACCAGUGAUCGAAGUCACCUGGCAGUCCGGUCACGAAUUUAUUUCACAACUACAUAACUUUCCUAACGCUUGGAACAGAGUAGCAAAACGAGGAUUGCGAUCUCGGGAUUUGUUUGGAGUCCAAACAUGCAUACAAUAGCGGUUGCUUCGUUAGCGUCCGACAAAACGAAGUAAUACAUUUUUCUCGCUGUGAAAAUCUCGUUCUAUUCGUGACAAUGAAUUCACGUGAAUUACCAGUGUGCUCUGUUGCUGAUAUUAUAACCCAGAUUCUACGUGAAAAAAUAAGUUGAAAGUUCUUCUUCUUGUAUGCUAAUAUUUGUACCUACGUUUGUUCUUAUAAU